Unclassified non-coding RNA from Pongo abelii (Sumatran orangutan), 117 nucleotides. It matches the Rfam family "Metazoan signal recognition particle RNA". From Rfam's summary of the family: The signal recognition particle (SRP) is a universally conserved ribonucleoprotein. It is involved in the co-translational targeting of proteins to membranes. The eukaryotic SRP consists of a 300-nucleotide 7S RNA and six proteins: SRPs 72, 68, 54, 19, 14, and 9. The record is from Ensembl. Lineage: Eukaryota; Metazoa; Chordata; Mammalia; Primates; Hominidae.
GCUGGGUGUGGUGGCUCAUGCCUGUAAUCCUAACGUUUUGGGAGGCUGAGGCAGGAGGAUCACUUGAGCCCAGGAACUCGAGACUAGCCUGGGCAACAAAGUGAGACCCUGUCUCUA